GUCGGGGUAGUAGCGAUAUCCUGUGACCCGUGCGGGGACAAAGACUGUGUGGAUAAUCCGUUGUGAUGUUGGGCCUGGGAGGUCCAUGUUGACGGUCGGCCCAUUCCAAGCCGGCGGCCAACAAUGGCGACCCGCCGGAGGGCGGGGCGUCGUGGUUGAUAAUGAGGGAGGUACCGCCUAAGGCCGGAAACGGAGCAGGGAAAACUUCCCACCGUCAGCAGUGGAAGGAAAACUGACUUGAAUGGACGCCCAGAUCACCCAUAUUCACAUUGAGAUUAGACCUCAGUUUUU
Molecule: signal recognition particle RNA, 291 nt
Filed under: Plasmodiophora brassicae
Lineage: Eukaryota; Endomyxa; Phytomyxea; Plasmodiophorida; Plasmodiophoridae
Description: Plant signal recognition particle RNA
Rfam family: Plant signal recognition particle RNA
Source: Rfam by way of RNAcentral